Molecule: ribosomal RNA, 279 nt
Filed under: uncultured bacterium
Lineage: Bacteria
Description: partial 16S ribosomal RNA
Rfam family: Bacterial small subunit ribosomal RNA
Source: RNAcentral
UGCCAGCCGCCGCGGUAAUACGGAGGGGGUUAGCGUUGUUCGGAAUCACUGGGCGUAAAGCGUAUGUAGGCGGAUCUAAAAGUUAGAUGUGAAAUCCCUGGGCUCAACCCAGGAACUGCAUUUAAAACUAGAGAUCUAGAAUUUGGUAAAGGUUAGUAGAAUUUCCAGUGUAGAGGUGAAAUUCGUAGAUAUUGGAAAGAAUACCAGAAGCGAAGGCGACUAACUAGGCCAUUUUUGACGCUGAGAUACGAAAGCGUGGGUAGCAAACAGGAUUAGAUA